Molecule: ribosomal RNA, 386 nt
Filed under: uncultured soil bacterium
Lineage: Bacteria
Description: bacterial SSU rRNA
Rfam family: Bacterial small subunit ribosomal RNA
Source: RNAcentral
AGAUUGAACGCUGGCGGCAGGCCUAACACAUGCAAGUCGAGCGGUAGAGAGGUGCUUGCAUCUCUUGAGAGCGGCGGACGGGUGAGUAAUGCCUAGGAAUCUGCCUAGUGGUGGGGGAUAACGUUCGGAAACGGACGCUAAUACCGCAUACGUCCUACGGGAGAAAGCGGGGGACCUUCGGGCCUCGCGCCAUUAGAUGAGCCUAGGUCGGAUUAGCUAGUUGGUGAGGUAAUGGCUCACCAAGGCGACGAUCCGUAACUGGUCUGAGAGGAUGAUCAGUCACACUGGAACUGAGACACGGCCCAGACUCCUACGGGAGCAGCAGUAGGGAAUAUUGGACAAUGGGACGAAAGCCUGAUCCAGCAAUGCCGCGUGAGUGAUGAAGG